ACGGGAGGCAGCAGUGAGGAAUAUUGGUCAAUGGGCGAGAGCCUGAACCAGCCAAGUAGCGUGAAGGAUGACUGCCCUACGGGUUGUAAACUUCUUUUAUACGGGAAUAAAAAAGGCCACGUGUGGCCUCUUGUAUGUACCGUAUGAAUAAGCAUCGGCUAAUUCCGUGCCAGCAGCCGCGGUAAUACGGAAGGUCCGGGCGUUAUCCGGAUUUAUUGGGUUUAAAGGGAGCGUAGGCCGUGCUUUAAGCGUGUUGUGAAAUGUAGGCGCCCAACGUCUGCACUGCAGCGCGAACUGGAGCACUUGAGUACGCAGGAAGUAGGCGGAAUUCGUCGUGUAGCGGUGAAAUGCUUAGAUAUGACGAAGAACUCCGAUUGGGAAGCCAGCUUACUGUAGCGCCACUGACGCUGAUGCUCGAAAGCGUGGGUAUCGAACAGGAUUAGAUACCCUGGUA
RNAcentral lists this ribosomal RNA (454 nucleotides) under uncultured Prevotella sp. Its description in RNAcentral is "partial 16S ribosomal RNA". It matches the Rfam family "Bacterial small subunit ribosomal RNA", at positions 341 to 792 of the family's 1533-position model. The record is from RNAcentral. Lineage: Bacteria; Pseudomonadati; Bacteroidota; Bacteroidia; Bacteroidales; Prevotellaceae.